Molecule: ribosomal RNA, 650 nt
Filed under: Klebsiella pneumoniae
Lineage: Bacteria; Pseudomonadati; Pseudomonadota; Gammaproteobacteria; Enterobacterales; Enterobacteriaceae
Description: bacterial SSU rRNA
Rfam family: Bacterial small subunit ribosomal RNA
Source: RNAcentral
AGUAAUGUCUGGGAAACUGCCUGAUGGAGGGGGAUAACUACUGGAAACGGUAGCUAAUACCGCAUAAUGUCGCAAGACCAAAGUGGGGGACCUUCGGGCCUCAUGCCAUCAGAUGUGCCCAGAUGGGAUUAGCUAGUAGGUGGGGUAACGGCUCACCUAGGCGACGAUCCCUAGCUGGUCUGAGAGGAUGACCAGCCACACUGGAACUGAGACACGGUCCAGACUCCUACGGGAGGCAGCAGUGGGGAAUAUUGCACAAUGGGCGCAAGCCUGAUGCAGCCAUGCCGCGUGUGUGAAGAAGGCCUUCGGGUUGUAAAGCACUUUCAGCGGGGAGGAAGGCGAUGAGGUUAAUAACCUUGUCGAUUGACGUUACCCGCAGAAGAAGCACCGGCUAACUCCGUGCCAGCAGCCGCGGUAAUACGGAGGGUGCAAGCGUUAAUCGGAAUUACUGGGCGUAAAGCGCACGCAGGCGGUCUGUCAAGUCGGAUGUGAAAUCCCCGGGCUCAACCUGGGAACUGCAUUCGAAACUGGCAGGCUAGAGUCUUGUAGAGGGGGGUAGAAUUCCAGGUGUAGCGGUGAAAUGCGUAGAGAUCUGGAGGAAUACCGGUGGCGAAGGCGGCCCCCUGGACAAAGACUGACGCUCAGGUGCG